UACGGAGGGUGCAAGCGUUAAUCGGAAUUACUGGGCGUAAAGCGCACGUAGGUGGUUUGUUAAGCCAGCUGUGAAAUCCCCGGGCUCAACCUGGGCACUGCAGUUGGAACUGGCAAGCUAGAGUAGGGUAGAGGGGUGUGGAAUUCCAGGUGUAGCGGUGAAAUGCGUAGAUAUCUGGAGGAACAUCAGUGGCGAAGGCGACACCCUGGACUCAUACUGACACUGAGGUGCGAAAGCGUGGGGAGCAAACAGG
This 253-nucleotide ribosomal RNA is filed under the name bacterium. RNAcentral describes it as "partial 16S ribosomal RNA". It matches the Rfam family "Bacterial small subunit ribosomal RNA", at positions 524 to 776 of the family's 1533-position model. RNAcentral also lists the same sequence under 3 other names. The record is from RNAcentral.